GACGAACGCUGGCGGCGUGCUCAACACAUGCAAGUCGAACGGAAAGGCUCCAGCUUGCUGGAGUACUCGAGUGGCGAACGGGUGAGUAACACGUGGGUAAUCUGCCCUGCACUCUGGGAUAAGCCUGGGAAACUGGGUCUAAUACUGGAUAUGACCUUUCUCCUUAUGGGGUUUGGUGGAAAGUUUUUCGGUGUAGGAUGAGCCCGCGGCCUAUCAGCUUGUUGGUGGGGUGAUGGCCUACCAAGGCGACGACGGGUAGCCGGCCUGAGAGGGUGAUCGGCCACAUUGGGACUGAGAUACGGCCCAGACUCCUACGGGAGGCAGCAGUGGGGAAUAUUGCACAAUGGGCGGAAGCCUGAUGCAGCGACGCCGCGUGAGGGAUGACGGCCUUCGGGUUGUAAACCUCUUUCAGCAGGGACGAAGCGUAAGUGACGGUACCUCCAGAAGAAGCACCGGCUAACUAUGUG
Molecule: ribosomal RNA, 467 nt
Filed under: uncultured bacterium
Lineage: Bacteria
Description: partial 16S ribosomal RNA
Rfam family: Bacterial small subunit ribosomal RNA
Source: RNAcentral